Molecule: ribosomal RNA, 484 nt
Filed under: uncultured bacterium
Lineage: Bacteria
Description: bacterial SSU rRNA
Rfam family: Bacterial small subunit ribosomal RNA
Source: RNAcentral
GAUGAACGCUAGCUACAGGCUUAACACAUGCAAGUCGAGGGGCAGCAUGGUCUUAGCUUGCUAAGGCCGAUGGCGACCGGCGCACGGGUGAGUAACACGUAUCCAACCUGCCGUCUACUCUUGGACAGCCUUCUGAAAGGAAGAUUAAUACAAGAUGGCAUCAUGAGUCCGCAUGUUCACAUGAUUAAAGGUAUUCCGGUAGACGAUGGGGAUGCGUUCCAUUAGAUAGUAGGCGGGUAACGGCCCACCUAGUCUUCGAUGGAUAGGGGUUCUGAGAGGAAGGUCCCCCACAUUGGAACUGAGACACGGUCCAAACUCCUACGGGAGGCAGCAGUGAGGAAUAUUGGUCAAAUGGACGAGAGUCUGAACCAGCCAAGUAGCGUGCAGGAUGACGGCCCUAUGGGUUGUAAACUGCUUUUAUAAGGGAAUAAAGUGUGGGACGUGUCCCGUUUGUAUGUACCUUAUGAAUAAGGAUCGGCUAACU